This is a long non-coding RNA of Populus euphratica (Euphrates poplar), 96 nucleotides long. RefSeq lists it as uncharacterized. The transcript has 3 exons. The record is from RefSeq and is a predicted model, not a curated record. Lineage: Eukaryota; Viridiplantae; Streptophyta; Magnoliopsida; Malpighiales; Salicaceae.
AUUUGCAAAUUUAAAGAAGGAGGAAGAUCAUGUGCAAGUGUUAAGGAGACUAUUUGAAAGGCUGCGAAAAUACCAACUAAAGUUGAACCCUGCAAA